This 359-nucleotide ribosomal RNA is filed under the name uncultured bacterium. Its description in RNAcentral is "bacterial SSU rRNA". It matches the Rfam family "Bacterial small subunit ribosomal RNA", at positions 29 to 414 of the family's 1533-position model. The record is from RNAcentral.
AACGAACGCUGGCGGCAUGCCUAACACAUGCAAGUCGAACGAAGCCUUCGGGCUUAGUGGCGCACGGGUGCGUAACGCGUGGGAAUCUGCCCUUGGGUUCGGAAUAACAGUUAGAAAUGACUGCUAAUACCGAAUGAUGUCUUCGGACCAAAGAUUUAUCGCCCAAGGAUGAGCCCGCGUCGGAUUAGCUAGUUGGUGAGGUAAAGGCUCACCAAGGCGACGAUCCGUAGCUGGUCUGAGAGGAUGAUCAGCCACACUGGGACUGAGACACGGCCCAGACUCCUACGGGAGGCAGCAGUGGGGAAUAUUGGACAAUGGCGGAAAGACCUGAUCCAGCAAUGCCGCGUGAGUGAUGAAGG